Rosa rugosa (rugosa rose) is the source of this 662-nucleotide long non-coding RNA. RefSeq lists it as uncharacterized. The record is from RefSeq and is a predicted model, not a curated record. The transcript has 4 exons. NCBI's taxonomy places the organism in Eukaryota, Viridiplantae, Streptophyta, Magnoliopsida, Rosales, Rosaceae.
GUAAGUUUCCAUUUUCGGAAACUUACCGAGCCUCUCCCCGAUUCUCUCUUCCUCUCCGACCUCUUCACCUUCUUCCGGCCAUAACUCCUCCAUCCGGCGACGGAUUUUGACGUGUAAGAUGUCGUUGGAAAGCUCUCUUCCUUCUCUUCAUUUCUGGGUUCGUUUCGUAGCUUAAUAUGAACUGUGGAAGGUGCAGCAACGAGAAGAAGAGGACGGUCACUGUAGCAGUUUUGAGUCAACGCCGAUAUUUUCCGAUUCCGGCAGUCUCCGGCCACCAAAUUGGCGUCGAAGGGUUCUUGGAAUUUCUGGAAAAUUUUCACCGGCCAAAUUGGAGCUCUUCCAGGGCAAUGCCGCGAGCUAUGGUUAAAUGAAGGAACUCGUUUGCGUGGUCGCCCAAUAGUACUUUUGCAGGCGAAAUUAGUUGAGGUCGGGCGUACAUGGAGUCGAGGCAUACCCAACAGCAUUGCUUCCGCGUACUCAUUCUAUUUCUGUUUUCUUUGUUACCUAGUGGAUUAGUAUUGCUCUGAUAACCUAUGGGAUUAAUAUUGUUUUUGGGUUGAGACUGAUAUUUGUGAAAUUGGAGUUGUGAUUUGGGGAGCAGAUGGCUCCAGAAGAUUAAGGAUGGAUGAUUUAGAAGUGUAAAUGUUUUCCUACAGGUUUUG